RNAcentral lists this transfer-messenger RNA (393 nucleotides) under Candidatus Babeliae. Its description in RNAcentral is "JACPFN01 sp018061805 Standard tmRNA". It matches the Rfam family "transfer-messenger RNA". From Rfam's summary of the family: Bacterial tmRNA, also known as 10Sa RNA or SsrA, is named for its dual tRNA and mRNA-like properties. Its role is to liberate the mRNA from a stalled ribosome. The record is from RNAcentral. RNAcentral also lists the same sequence under 1 other name.
GGGGGCGUACUGGUUUCGACGUGGUCAUGAUGGUUGAAAGUGCAUGUCGAGUUUUUGUUGGAUACUCGUAAAUAAAACAGCAAAAAAACAAAUGCAGAAACAUUUAAUUCUGUUGGAGUAGCAUUAUUUGCAUUAUUUGCAUUAUUUGCAGGUAUGUUCACUUUCUUAAGACGUCGCGAAGACGAACUUUCUUUCGCGUUUUAAGUAUUAUAAAAAACUAGUUCUAUCUACUCUAAUUUUUGCUAUUUGCUAAAGUAGAUAUAUAUAAAAUAGACUUACAAAUCGCUGCUGUGUUUCCAAGGUAGAUUUGUUCGUAUUAUUUGGAAAAUAAACAUGUAGUACUGUCGACUUGACUUUCUACGGACAUGGGUUCGACUCCCAUCGCCUCCACCA